UACAAUAUUUAUUCUAUUUAAAGCCCCCCUUCUAAUUAACGCCCCCUACCGAAAAUCAUGCGUUCAGAACUUUUGACUUCUAAUAAACGCCCCCAUUUUGUAGUUAGAAAAAUAAAAUUGAAAGUUACCCAUUACAAUAUUGCUAAGACAUUGACCCGGUCACUCAGAAACAUGAAACGAAAAAUCAAUAAUGCCCAUGUUUUAAU
Molecule: long non-coding RNA, 206 nt
Filed under: Mytilus galloprovincialis (Mediterranean mussel)
Lineage: Eukaryota; Metazoa; Mollusca; Bivalvia; Mytilida; Mytilidae
Source: RNAcentral